CGCUGUACGAAUUUUCAGCCAACUCAAACUGCUUUAAGUAUUCAUAUUUACUCCCUGUAAUUAUAGAAUGGAAUAAAUUAGACAAAGAAUCAUUAACACUGAGUCGUUAAACAGUUCUGUAUCCUUAUUAGAAAAAGCACUGCUUGCAUAUCAGUUACAAUAACUAGUGUUACCUUCUUUUUCUCCUUUUAGCAUGUUAUCUUUGUUGCCCGGCCUGUAAUACAUAAUGCCUACGCUCGCUUUAUUUACGACGAUUUUAUUUAUUCUGAGUUCUCUUUCUACUUAUUUCUUAGUUUCUUCCAGCGUACAUAUGUACUAUUUAUGAUUGCAUCUGUACUGCAUUGUUAUGCUGCUCUAGUUCGACGCUAUAAUGUAAUAUAUGUACCAUCGACACACUUAGGAUAACUAAAUCUUGUUAACUGAUAUUACAGUGCUUAUGUUUCAAAGUCUCCGCACUGCGUUGUGUUACACUUGACCAUAGUGUAUUGUAAGUUUGCCUGUUUUCAUUCGCGACUUGGCGCUGCACUUGAUUCCGUGUGCCGCCUGCUACGAUCUCGCAAGAGAUUGGCAGUAUUGCAAAUAAAUAAAAUAUUACUGCUGAACGAGUUCCCUCUUUUAGCACAAGAUAUCGUUCGAGGUGACAUUUACACGUGGUGUGAAACGCGAUUUCUUUCUUAUUUUCUUCCCUUCUUUACUUCCAGUUUUUUUUUCUUCGUUUUUGUCGUGUUUGACUGGGUGUGUGUGUGUGUGUACGCUCCACUGCUCACUGUACAUCGGGGUGGCCGUACGCGCCUGCCGGCCCAGUGGCAACUGUCCACGCCACGCGUACACAACCCACUCCACGCGUUCCCGCGAGCCAUUAAUGCCGCACCACUUUUCCUUUCGCCUCGUUUACGCCUUCCGAGAGAGCGUCAGAGCCGACGGGACACACGCAGUGUCGUCGCCGCUACAGCCGUGCUGCAGCUCGGGCGUGACCGGGCGAAGCAGCGAAAAGGCCCUACUCUUGUAACAGCAACUCACGCCGGCGCCAGCGGCUGCUGCUGCUGCUGCUGCAUUGUCUUUAAGCGCUGAGAGCCUCGUUCUUCUUCCCGCUUCGGUUAUUUUUUGUUUUUCCUUCCUAGAUUCGCUUUCGACGACGGUGCUAUAGUAUACAGUCGUUGCCCGUCGCCGAGCGGAGCUUCCCAGCAGGACAAUGCGACGCGACACCGCUGAUUUUUUUGAUCUUGUGCGCGCUGUUCUUUCGAGCGACGAAAGUGGCACAGCCCGCUCGGUGUUGCCGGAGGUGAGAGAAGAAGGAAACAGAGGAAGACUCGGAGGACGAAGUACAGUUGACAAUGUGUUUUUUUUUUCUUCCUUGCUGAUGUAUCGAUGUCAGGCGUACGGAGCAAACGACGCGCACGAGUCCACGUCUUAUCUGCGCGCACUUUCCCUUUCUUCCAUUCUUUGGGCGUGCGACCCAUUUUCUAUUUGGAUCCUUCUACACGGAUUCUUCUGGAUGGCGGAAACAAAGUAGCAGCCUUUAUCGAUAACAGGAUUUCGCCGUUAUAUAUGCGGAAUGGCAUUGUCUGGCUGCAAGACAUUAGGAUCGCUUAAAAUAGAAAGAAAGAAAUAUUUACUAAAGCACUGGAGGGGUGCUUGUUUCAGCGGAGACCUGAUACAACAAAAGUUCUGCUCAUCGAUAUCAAUGCAUUUCUAGGAACUCAUACGCUCAAUGGGAUAAUUGACAAUUGAUGGUGACACGUGGUUGGGACUGACACAUGGUUUGGGACUGCAACAAGAAUCCACGGACAACGCCUAGCGAAGCGCCAACCGAAGAAUAGUGGGAGGCCCUGCUGAGAAGCCCAAGUCCUGAGUACCAGCUACGGCUGAUGAACAGGUCUAGGCUAUCAGCACAGGGCCAUGGCUACUUGGAAAAGGGUGGCCGCCCUCCUUCGGGCAUCAACAGCUUGGUCUCUGAAAUAAAGUUUAUUCCCUCACUCGA
This is a long non-coding RNA of Dermacentor andersoni, 1981 nucleotides long. RefSeq lists it as uncharacterized. The record is from RefSeq and is a predicted model, not a curated record. Lineage: Eukaryota; Metazoa; Arthropoda; Arachnida; Ixodida; Ixodidae.